RNAcentral lists this ribosomal RNA (321 nucleotides) under uncultured eukaryote. RNAcentral describes it as "partial 18S ribosomal RNA". It matches the Rfam family "Eukaryotic small subunit ribosomal RNA", at positions 1470 to 1796 of the family's 1831-position model. The record is from RNAcentral.
CCCUUAGAUGUUCUGGGCUGCACGCGUGCUACACUGAUAUUGCCAAUAUGUCAUUCUUAUCCGAAAUGGAUUGGGUAAUCAAGUAAUGAAAUUUCAUGCUUGGAAUCGGUAAUUGCAAUUUUAUCGUGAACGAGGAAUUCCUAGUAAGCACUAGUCAUCAGCUAAUGUUGAUUAUGUCCCUGCCCUUUGUACACACCGCCCGUCGCUCCUACCGAUUGAGUGCUCAGGUGAGCCAUUCGGACUUUCAUCAUGCUGGUUUCCAGUUUUGAUGAAGGAAAGUCUUGCGAACCUUAUCAUUUAGAGGAAGGAGAGGUCGUAACA